AUACUUACCUGGCAGGGAAAGUACCAUGAUCACAAAGGUGGUUUUCCCAGGACAAAGCUUCUCCAUUGCACUCUGGAUGUGCUGACCCCUGCGAUUUCCAACCCCCAAACACAAAAAUUAUUCUUACUAACAAAUGAUUUUGGAUCAGAA
Molecule: small nuclear RNA, 150 nt
Filed under: Jaculus jaculus (lesser Egyptian jerboa)
Lineage: Eukaryota; Metazoa; Chordata; Mammalia; Rodentia; Dipodidae
Description: U1 spliceosomal RNA (ENSJJAG00000005454.1)
Rfam family: U1 spliceosomal RNA
About the family: U1 is a small nuclear RNA (snRNA) component of the spliceosome (involved in pre-mRNA splicing). Its 5' end forms complementary base pairs with the 5' splice junction, thus defining the 5' donor site of an intron. There are significant differences in sequence and secondary structure between metazoan and yeast U1 snRNAs, the latter being much longer (568 nucleotides as compared to 164 nucleotides in human).
Source: RNAcentral